CCGAAUUGUCAACACGAGUUGUUGCUGGCCCUCAAAUGGGGGCAUGUGCACGCUCUGUUUGCAUCCACUCACACCUGUGCACCUUCUGUAGUUCUAUGGUCUGGGAGACACCUGUCUUCCCUUCUGUGGCUCUACGUCUUUACACACACACUGUAACACGGUCUUAUGGAAUGUAUGCAGCGUUUAACGCAAUACAAUA
RNAcentral lists this unclassified non-coding RNA (199 nucleotides) under uncultured Tomentella. RNAcentral describes it as "sequence contains ITS1". Lineage: Eukaryota; Fungi; Basidiomycota; Agaricomycetes; Thelephorales; Thelephoraceae. The record is from RNAcentral.